This 181-nucleotide ribosomal RNA is filed under the name uncultured bacterium. RNAcentral's name for it is "partial 16S ribosomal RNA". It matches the Rfam family "Bacterial small subunit ribosomal RNA", at positions 596 to 776 of the family's 1533-position model. The record is from RNAcentral.
GAAAGCCCGCGGCCCAACCGCGGGACUGCCCUGGAAACUGUAUGGCUGGAGUGUCGGAGAGGCAGGCGGAAUUCCUAGUGUAGCGGUGAAAUGCGUAGAUAUUAGGAGGAACACCAGUGGCGAAGGCGGCCUGCUGGACGAUGACUGACGUUGAGGCUCGAAAGCGUGGGGAGCAAACAGG